AUGGGAAUAUCAUAGCUAUCACAGUCGUCACUAUCACAUAUGCUGUCCUCCAAAUCAAUCUGAAGUAGCUGAGCGGAUACUCUCCAUUAAAAGGAGUUGGGAACUGAUCAAUUGAUUUCACCUGGUAAGCACCAACUAGGUGAACAGCAAUGCAGAUAUUGGCGAAGUCAAUGAGCCAAAAGGGCUCGUAGAAUCCGAAGCCAGUAAGGAAAUUUCCUGGUGCAUUGUUUCCGAAUGCUGCAUAACCAACACAACCACAGAGUAUGUAGAAAAGACUGGUGGUUGAGAUGCCGACAAAAGUUGCCCUCUUCAUUGCUUUGUUUUCUGGUGGGCUUGAUCUCAAUGUGUCCUGUAAAUUCAUGGGAACAGGGACAUGCUGGGCCAAACCUUGGCCCCGGGGGAAUGAUGCAAGCGACAAGAGUUGGAACAUCAUCAAAAUGGGGUCCACAGGAAGAAGUUUGUUGGACCGUCGUCUCAAAUCCAUACGAAACUCUGUGAUGGUGAUGUAAUGAAUCUGCACCCAAACCCAGAAAGAAAGGAAGAUGCCAUUUUUCUGGGUGCUGAAGAUUGGGACCGCCUUUACAGUACAGUGGAUGUGGUCCACGCAAUUUCUAUGGUCCAUAGAAUCUAAAUCCGAGCCGAAAUUUCAACCACAAUCAUUCUUAUCCAAACGAAAAACAGAGUUCAACGAUAAUUGGUAUGUAUACUUGCGACUUUUGCGAUGGACAGGCCGACUCCGAUGCUAGCGUAAGCAAACGACAUGACGGCGGCGAGAAUAGAGAGCCAUGAGAGCUUGUGGAAGUUGGGAAUUUGGCUGAGCAACACUUGCAUGGCCGAAAAUAGUAGCAUGUAUGGAACACCAGAGACGGUGCAGUCUGCCUGAUGCCCAUUCUUGUGGUAGCAGUUUGACUUCUUCACCGCUCUGAUUUCAUUUCAUUAGUCACAAAAUCAUUGUUAACUUAGCAUUUUAAACCAUCUUAAUUUACAUCUCGGGUUGGUCUA
This is a long non-coding RNA of Cucurbita moschata (crookneck pumpkin), 1002 nucleotides long. RefSeq lists it as uncharacterized. The record is from RefSeq and is a predicted model, not a curated record. Lineage: Eukaryota; Viridiplantae; Streptophyta; Magnoliopsida; Cucurbitales; Cucurbitaceae. The transcript has 5 exons.